GACGAACGCUGGCGGCGUGCUUAACACAUGCAAGUCGAACGGAAAGGCCCUGCUUUUGUGGGGUGCUCGAGUGGCGAACGGGUGAGUAACACGUGAGUAACCUGCCCUUGACUUUGGGAUAACUUCAGGAAACUGGGGCUAAUACCGGAUAGGAGCUCCUGCUGCAUGUUGGGGGUUGGAAAGUUUCGGCGGUUGGGGAUGGACUCGCGGCUUAUCAGCUUGUUGGUGUGGUAGUGGCUUACCAAGGCUUUGACGGGUAGCCGGCCUGAGAGGGUUACCGGCCACAUUGGGACUGAGAUACGGACCAGACUCCUACGGGAGGCAGCAGUGGGGAAUAUUGCGCAAUGGGCGGAAGCCUGAUGCAGAAACGCCGCGUGCGGGAUGACGGCCUUCGGGUUGUAAACCGAUUUCGACUGUGACGAAGCGUGAGUGACGGUAAUGGGUAAAGAAGCACCGGCUAACUACGUG
This 468-nucleotide ribosomal RNA is filed under the name uncultured bacterium. RNAcentral's name for it is "partial 16S ribosomal RNA". It matches the Rfam family "Bacterial small subunit ribosomal RNA", at positions 28 to 507 of the family's 1533-position model. The record is from RNAcentral.